UGAAACUUCAACACCUUCGUUCUCCUUCGUUUCUCAACCAAAUUGGACGAGUGAGCCAGUAGUUGACUGGAACGAGCAGCAGAGCUGUGUCGUGUGCCCUUGAACCGUGAACUUUGGUGCUCCGAGCUUUUGUAGAGCUUCGGUACCCUGUUAAUUCGUAAAACUCCAUUUUUGUUGGAUGGUUGAAUUCUGUUAGAUGCUCUGUUAUUGCCCAGUUAGAAUUUGGUAUUUUGAGGCCGGAGGCCAUGGUUUGUAACACUAAGCUUUGUGUA
This is a non-coding RNA of Prunus avium (sweet cherry), 272 nucleotides long. Lineage: Eukaryota; Viridiplantae; Streptophyta; Magnoliopsida; Rosales; Rosaceae. The record is from RefSeq and is a predicted model, not a curated record.